This 264-nucleotide ribosomal RNA is filed under the name uncultured archaeon. RNAcentral's name for it is "partial 16S ribosomal RNA". It matches the Rfam family "Archaeal small subunit ribosomal RNA", at positions 717 to 982 of the family's 1478-position model. The record is from RNAcentral.
ACACGACUACAUUAGAUACCCGGGUAGUCCAGGGUGUAAACGCUGCGGGCUUGGUGUUGGGGGGUCCUUUGAGGGCGCCCAGUGCCGGAGAGAAGUUGUUAAGCCUGCUGCUUGGGAGUACGUCCGCAAGGAUGAAACUUAAAGGAAUUGGCGGGGAGCACCGCAACGGGAGGAGCGUGCGGUUCAAUUGGAUUCAACGCCGGACAACUCACCAGGAGCGACGGUUACAUGAAGGCCAGGCUGAUGACCUUGCCUGAUUUUCCG